RNAcentral lists this ribosomal RNA (377 nucleotides) under uncultured eukaryote. RNAcentral's name for it is "partial 18S ribosomal RNA". It matches the Rfam family "Eukaryotic small subunit ribosomal RNA", at positions 592 to 975 of the family's 1831-position model. The record is from RNAcentral.
CAAUAGCGUAUAUUAAAGUUGUUGCAGUUAAAAAGCUCGUAGUUGGAUUUCGGGACGGGCCAGUUGGUCCGCCGCAAGGUGUGUUACUGACUGGUCUGUUCUUCUUCGCAAAGACUUCGUAUGCUCUUCGUUGAGUGUGCGUAGGAUUUACGACGUUUACUUUGAAAAAAUUAGAGUGUUCAAAGCAGGCUAUCGCUUGAAUACAUGAGCAUGGAAUAAUGGAAUAGGACUUUGGUCCUAUUUUGUUGGUUUCUAGGACCGAAGUAAUGAUUAAGAGGGACAAUUGGGGGCAUCCGUAUUUCGUUGUCAGAGGUGAAAUUCUUGGAUUUACGAAAGACGAACAACUGCGAAAGCACUUGCCAAGAGUGUUUNCAUUA